RNAcentral lists this long non-coding RNA (223 nucleotides) under Homo sapiens (human). RNAcentral describes it as "HSALNT0250828". The record is from RNAcentral. Lineage: Eukaryota; Metazoa; Chordata; Mammalia; Primates; Hominidae.
GCAGCACCAACCUGGGGUGCGAGACCAGCCUGCGGUGCUGGGCUUCCAGGAGCUGCUGCUGCAGGAGGUAUUGCUGGUGCAGGGCCUGAGGAAAGAAAUGCCUGAAGAAGAGUUAAAAGCGCACUGCGGUUGAGGGAUUUUGCCUCUGGUGUGGAGGGCAAAGGGCAGACCGAAGCUGCUUGGCUCAAUGUGUCUUAUGCUAGUCUAUUCAGCCUUGUAUAUU